UUCUUAAAAGAACAGCUCCCCCCAUCAUCUGCUUUCCCUCUUGCAGAAAAUCUGGAGCUCUUUUGCAAGUGCAGCAGAAAAUAUGGUUUUUUUUUUUUUAAGAUGCUUCUACUUUAAAAUAAUUCCAUAUGAGCAAAAACCAGCUUUUAUGACUCAGGUUUGGUCACUUUUUUUAUUUUGGUGGUAUUUUUGGUUUUUUUUUGUUUUUUUGUUUUUUUUUUGUUUUUUUGUUUUUGUUUUUGUUUUUGGUACUUCCUUGUCCUUUUUCUGCAUCUCUGAACAGAAGAAAGUAACUUUCUAAUGAGUGCUGCUGAAGGAGUUUCACAGUCCUUGUUAAAAUGAUUUGUUGGCUUCAGGACUUCCAUUGGCAAGAUGGAAUCCCUUACCACUGAGAAGAUGCAGACCCCUCAAGUGGCAUUUAGCAUUACCUUCAGGAUCAGCCCCUUGCUGCUUCAUCCAGCACUGUUGAUGCCAAUAGAAGUUUCACCCUGGAUUUCAGACCUGAUCAGGCCUGAGGAUUGUGGUCCUUUCAUCCUUUGGGCAGUUAAGAUGUUUAUGACCUUCCACAGGGUCUGCAGGCACUGUGAUAGAGGUUGGGCCUGGUGCCACACAUGGUGGGAGCUUUGCCCUGAAGUGCUGACAGUCUCUAAGUUUAGAUGUGGAGCAAUGAGUGGGAAUAACAAGCAAAAGUGGGCAAUAGGCACAGUGAAGGUCAUGGCAGUGGGACCAAGGUUACUCUGAUCUGGCAGGUGAAUAUCCUGAUGCCUGCACUGAUUAAAUAGUGAUUAAAUCACCAGCUGCAGGCUGGAAGGAAGAAGCCAGACCUUAGAGGGAUGUGGCUGUGGGGAGACCUGGAGAGCAAACAUCAGGAGGACAGUUCAUGUCCAGAGGACUAGAGUAGCUUGUCCACUACUUUAGUUGUUUAGGCAUUUAAAACACACUGGGUAAAUCACUGACAAGAAUGCCCAAAAGAACAAUGUUGCAUCAGUUAUCUUCCUGAGCAUUUGACUGGAUUGAUUUUUAUUUAUACUAGACAAAAAGGGUUAUUAGUCGUGCUUCAUCUUUAUUCUGAAUGUCUUUAAUUUGGACAUCCAUUAAAUUUGGAAGUUUUCCAUGUGAUGCCAGUGAGGCUGUUGGAUUGUAGUCAUGACUUACAACCAAACAUCUUUCUUGCUUCGUGUUGCUGACCGCAGCUUUGGUUAUGAAAUGGGAAAGAAUGUUAAACUCCAGUGUAUUUUUCUCUGUGGAUUUUGUUUAUUUUUAUUUUUAACAUUUCGAUUGGACAAUGAAAUGUCAGUGAUGACAAUUGCAAGUCUUUAGGUACAAGUUUGCCUUUCAGCCAUUGCGUGGGAGUGAUUAUUUGCUUUUAAAAACUGACAGAUGUGGAUUUUUAGUACCUUUUUCUUAAUAAUCUCUGGGAAAAUGGCCUUACAUAAAAGGCUGCUGUAUGAAAAGGUAAGACCAUGGCCAGUUUGGGAUGACAACAUCUUUUUCAUGUGUUGCUAACUUUUCCAGCGAGCAGCAGCAACAAGCUGAGCAAAGGUUGGAGGCAGCAUGCUUCUUCUGUUUCCCUUGAAUUCCUUUCAUCAGUCCAGUGACUACGUGAGUCCUGAUGACACAUUUCUGGAUCACAUGUGCCAGAAAGAUGGACUAUAUGGAGACACAUGGCAUGGAAACUAUUCUAGCUGGAGACCAGUUACAUACACAGGUUUCAGACAUGCUGUAAAUGUGUAUAUUCUUCACAUGGACUUUAUUAAUAGCACAAGACUGAGACAGGGGGAGCCAGUUACAUUGCUCCACAUAUAAGUAAAGCAGCAGAAAUAAAAUCUUUCUUGUUCCUUAUUGUAUUAAAAGU
Molecule: long non-coding RNA, 1855 nt
Organism: Passer domesticus (house sparrow)
Lineage: Eukaryota; Metazoa; Chordata; Aves; Passeriformes; Passeridae
Exons: 2
Source: RefSeq, a predicted model, not a curated record